Eucalyptus grandis is the source of this 593-nucleotide long non-coding RNA. RefSeq lists it as uncharacterized. Lineage: Eukaryota; Viridiplantae; Streptophyta; Magnoliopsida; Myrtales; Myrtaceae. The record is from RefSeq and is a predicted model, not a curated record. The transcript is spliced from 2 exons.
GGAACAACCGCUCGAAAACCUCCUCUAUACUGUUCUCGGCUUGGGAUGGAUCAUUAGCGUUAGCAACGAAAGAGGCAUCGACAUUAAGCUUCAAGACACCAAAUUUCGGUUUUUGCCACUUGGGCAUUUUCUUGAAGAUUGCAUUGUUUCAAUCCUUCCAUACACACCAUAGGGUCAUCGCAAUGAGGUCAAACUGAGGCGAGGUUCGUGGAUCCUCCCUUAAUUUAGUUAACCACUCAUCAAAUUGAGUAAGACCCAUUCUUUUGAUACAAAUUUGCAAGGAAUGCUGGCGCCACAGUUGUGAUGUCCAAGGACAAGGUAGCGGGGUAUGUUCAACUGUCUCGGGUUCUUAUUUGCAUAAUGGGCAUACAGGUGUAGGUAUGAUCUUCCUUCUAUAUAGGUUCUCCAAGGUAGGUAGGGCGUUAUAACGGGCAUUCCAUAGGAAGAUUUUAACUUUGGGCGUUGUUCAUGCUUUCCAAAUGUAUUUCCACAAAGCUGAUUGCCUAAUAGGAAGAUGAUGCUUUUGUAGUGAGAGUGCUAGUUGUAAGGCUCCUAUUGCUAAAAUAUCCACUUUUAACCGUGUAUUUCCCUGA